This 2405-nucleotide unclassified non-coding RNA is filed under the name Hevea brasiliensis (rubber tree). Lineage: Eukaryota; Viridiplantae; Streptophyta; Magnoliopsida; Malpighiales; Euphorbiaceae. The record is from RNAcentral.
AAAAAAAAAAAAAAAAAGAAAGGCUCUUCACUCUGUCAAGCAAAGGCCUGAAAAUCUUUUUAGCAUCCUUGCAUAACACCGCCAGUCAGUCACUCAUCAAAAGUUGUUCUUUUCUUGUUUGUGUGUGUUACAAUCAAAAGCUGAUCUUAAAUCAAGGAGAUACAAAAAAAAAAAACAGGGGAACCAAGACUUAAUUUCCAAAUCAGGGGAAAAUGUUUCCUUUCAAUGUCUUUGUAACCCUGGUUUUAAUACUAUCAUUCAUACUUGAUUUGUUUAAUCUCCCUGGCGUUGGAGGAAUCGUCCGGCUCUAUAGCUAUUGCAAAAAUGGCACUAGCUUCACACCAAAUGGUAUCUAUCAGCAGAAUCUUAAUUCCUUGCUCUUUUUUCUUUCUUCUAAUGCAACACAAGAGAAGGGAUUCUACUACACCACCGCCGGUCAAGACCCUUCCAACAUGGCCUACGGCCUUUUCCUUUGUCGGGGGGAUAUUGUCCUCUUGAAAGGUGUCUGCCAAGAAUGUGUCCUGGCUGCUAGCAAAGAUAUUGUUCAAUAUUGCCCUAAAGAGAAGGUGUCGAUCAUUUGGUAUGAUGAAUGCAUGCUACGUUAUUCCAAUGAAUCUUUCUUCUCUCAAGUGGGAGAAGACCCUGCGUACGCACAGUGGAACCCCGAACCACCAGUAAACGAAUCAGAGCGCUUGACGGAGUUAGCGACAACAACGAUGCGCGAUGUGGCAGCACGGGCUGCAAAUGAUCGGUCUGGUAAAAGAUUCGGCACCGAAGAAGUGAAUUUCACGAGUUCUCAAACAGUGUAUACACUUGUGCAGUGCACCCAAGAUUUAUCUGUUGCCGACUGCAGCAAGUGCCUUCGAGAAGCUAUUGGUGCCUUACCCUACUGCUGUUAUGGAAGAAAAGGGGGCAGAAUUAUAUAUCCUAGUUGUAAUGCUAGAUAUGAGUUGUACCCAUUUUAUCGUGUUGAGGAUAUUCAAGCCCCACCGCCAUCUACAACAGGAGAUAACCGGAAGAUGAUCCUGCUUGUUGUGGGAAUACCAACGGUGCUAAUAGCAAUUCUCGUUGGGUCUGGUCUUGUCUAUUUGCAGCGGAAAAGAGGAAAAGAACAGGAAAAAGGAAAAGACCUGCCCGAAUUGUUACAGGACUUGGCAAGCCCUAGUAUGACAGAAGAAGAUAAUUUGCCGAAUUCCGUGGAGCUUCCUGUUAUGGAUCUAACUACUAUAAGAGAAGCAACAGACAACUUUUCGGAUUCAAAUAAACUUGGGCGUGGCGGGUUUGGCACUGUUUACAAGGGUGUGUUAGCAGACGGGAAGGAAAUAGCUGUUAAAAGGUUGUCAAAGAAGUCAUUUCAUGGGUUGCUGGAGUUGAAGAAUGAAAUCAUACUAAUUGCAAAACUCCAACACCGGAACCUUGUGAGGCUCUUGGGAUGUACCAUAGAGGGAGAGGAAAAAUUGCUCAUAUAUGAGUUCAUGCCUAAUAAAAGCCUUGAUUUCUUUCUCUUUGGUUUGACUUUUAAACCUCAAAAUUCACCUCAUUCUCUAUACUAAACUAUUGACCAAAAAAAAACUAUUUUAUUUGUUAAUCUUUAUCUUUCAGAUUCAAGCAAGCGUAUGCAACUUGAUUGGCAAAUACGGCUUAGCAUUAUCAAUGGAAUUGCUCGUGGCCUAUUAUAUCUGCAUGAAGAUUCUCGUCUCAGAGUUAUUCACAGAGACCUCAAGGCUGGUAAUAUAUUGCUUGACAGCGAGAUGAACCCAAAGAUAUCUGAUUUUGGAAUGGCAAGGAUUUUUGGUGGAAAGCAAAGUGAGGCUAAUACAAAUACAGUCGUAGGAACCUAUGGAUACAUGGCACCAGAGUAUGCGAUGCAAGGAUUAUUAUCAGUAAAAUCCGAUAUUUUUAGUUUUGGUGUUCUCUUAUUAGAGAUAAUAAGUGGGAAAAAGAACAGUGGAUUUUUUUCAAAUAAUGGAGAGAGUCUCCUCAUAUUUGCAUGGAAUCUGUGGUUUGAAAAUCAAGGAUUAGAGUUGAUGGAUCCGUUACUUGUAAACUCAAGCGUGGAAGCUGAGGUACUGAAGUGCAUCCAAAUUGGGUUGUUGUGUGUGCAAGAUGACCCAGCAGACAGACCAACUAUGUCUUCGGUCGUUUUAAUGUUAGGAAAUGAUACCAUGACACUUCCUCAGCCCACAAAACAUACAUUUUCUGUUAAAACAGUUGUCGAAAGUAAGGAAUCAUCAUCAAAUUAUGAAGCUUUUUCUGUCAAUGAGAUGACUGUUUCAGAUAUGUUACCGCGGUGAAUUGUCGUGUAUUUCUUGUAAUCUAGCAUAUAUUUAAGUACUAAACUUGUUGGAGCCAAGUUUAAAUAAUUUGGAUAACUUCUGUUGGUGAUCUUAUUAUUAACAUCAUUG